Molecule: ribosomal RNA, 383 nt
Filed under: uncultured eukaryote
Lineage: Eukaryota
Description: partial 18S ribosomal RNA
Rfam family: Eukaryotic small subunit ribosomal RNA
Source: RNAcentral
CAAUAGCGUAUAUUAAAGUUGUUGCAGUUAAAAAGCUCGUAGUUGGAUUUCUGGUGGGAGCGAUCGGUCUGGCGCUUAGCGCGAGUACUUGCAUCGUCUCCGGCCAUCCUUGGGGAGAGUCUGUCUGGCAUUAGGUUGUCGGGCAGAGGAUCCUCAUCGUUUACUGUGAAAAAAUUAGAGUGUUCAAAGCAGGCUUAUGCCGUUGAAUACAUUAGCAUGGAAUAAUAAGAUAGGACUUUGGCACUAUUUUGUUGGUUUGCGCACCAAAGUAAUGAUUAAUAGGGACAGUUGGGGGUAUUCGUAUUCCGUUGUCAGAGGUGAAAUUCUUGGAUUUACGGAAGACGAACUACUGCGAAAGCAUUUACCAAGGAUGUUUNCAUUAA